Molecule: unclassified non-coding RNA, 300 nt
Filed under: plant metagenome
Description: partial contains 5.8S ribosomal RNA, internal transcribed spacer 2, and large subunit ribosomal RNA
Rfam family: 5.8S ribosomal RNA (bases 1-105)
Source: RNAcentral
AAAAUGCGAUAAGUAAUGUGAAUUGCAGAAUUCAGUGAAUCAUCGAAUCUUUGAACGCACAUUGCGCCCGCCAGUAUUCUGGCGGGCAUGCCUGUUCGAGCGUCAUUUCAACCCUCAAGCUCAGCUUGGUGUUGGGACUCGCGGUAACCCGCGUUCCCCAAAUCGAUUGGCGGUCACGUCGAGCUUCCAUAGCGUAGUAAUCAUACACCUCGUUACUGGUAAUCGUCGCGGCCACACCGUAAAACCCCAACUUCUGAAUGUUGACCUCGGAUCAGGUAGGAAUACCCGCUGAACUUAAGC